AGUGAACGCUGGCGGUAGGCCUAACACAUGCAAGUCGAACGGCAGCACAGUAGGAGCUUGCUCUUACGGGUGGCGAGUGGCGGACGGGUGAGGAAUACAUCGGAAUCUACUUUUUCGUGGGGGAUAACGUAGGGAAACUUACGCUAAUACCGCAUACGACCUACGGGUGAAAGCAGGGGAUCUUCGGACCUUGCGCGAUUGAAUGAGCCGAUGUCGGAUUAGCUAGUUGGCGGGGUAAAGGCCCACCAAGGCGACGAUCCGUAGCUGGUCUGAGAGGAUGAUCAGCCACACUGGAACUGGGACACGGUCCAGACUCCUACGGGAGGCAGCAGUGGGGAAUAUUGGACAAUGGGCGCAAGCCUGAUCCAGCCAUACCGCGUGGGUGAAGAAGGCCUUCGGGUUGUAAAGCCCUUUUGUUGGGAAAGAAAAGCAGCAGGUUAAUACCCCGCUGUUCUGACGGUACCCAAAGAAUAAGCACCGGCUAACUUCGUG
Molecule: ribosomal RNA, 492 nt
Filed under: uncultured bacterium
Lineage: Bacteria
Description: partial 16S ribosomal RNA
Rfam family: Bacterial small subunit ribosomal RNA
Source: RNAcentral